This 266-nucleotide ribosomal RNA is filed under the name uncultured Staphylococcus sp. RNAcentral's name for it is "partial 16S ribosomal RNA". It matches the Rfam family "Bacterial small subunit ribosomal RNA", at positions 96 to 354 of the family's 1533-position model. Lineage: Bacteria; Bacillati; Bacillota; Bacilli; Caryophanales; Staphylococcaceae. The record is from RNAcentral.
CGGCGGACGGGUGAGUAACACGUGGAUAACCUACCUAUAAGACUGGGAUAACUUCGGGAAACCGGAGCUAAUACCGGAUAAUAUAUUGAACCGCAUGGUUCAAUAGUGAAAGACGGUUUUGCUGUCACUUAUAGAUGGAUCCGCGCCGCAUUAGCUAGUUGGUAAGGUAACGGCUUACCAAGGCAACGAUGCGUAGCCGACCUGAGAGGGUGAUCGGCCACAUUGGGACUGAGACACGGCCCAAACUCCUACGGGAGGCAGCAGGC